AUGCAGUUGACGAGUCCUGAAUAGGACGAAACGCGCGUCCUGAAU
RNAcentral lists this non-coding RNA (45 nucleotides) under Schistosoma mattheei. The record is from RNAcentral. Lineage: Eukaryota; Metazoa; Platyhelminthes; Trematoda; Strigeidida; Schistosomatidae.